CAUUCUGAAUGGUGCUAUGCUUGGUCAAUGGCGCCAUUUCAAAUGGCAACAUGUGCAGAAAAGCAGUCAAGGAGACAGCAGGUGCAGAGGAGACAGAAAAAAGCAGCAGGGAGUCAAUGGCGCCAUUCUGAAUGGCGCUAUCACAUGGCAAUGGCUCCAUUUCAAAUGGUGCUACCCAGUUUGUCUUCUGUCAGGGGUGUAUUA
RNAcentral lists this long non-coding RNA (204 nucleotides) under Trifolium pratense (red clover). RNAcentral describes it as "long non-coding RNA (TPRA_LNC004639)". The record is from RNAcentral. Lineage: Eukaryota; Viridiplantae; Streptophyta; Magnoliopsida; Fabales; Fabaceae.